Molecule: non-coding RNA, 365 nt
Organism: Paramuricea clavata
Lineage: Eukaryota; Metazoa; Cnidaria; Anthozoa; Malacalcyonacea; Plexauridae
Source: the annotation of a GenBank genome assembly
CCGGAAUUCCACUGUGAAUAAGUUGAUCUCCCCUGGAUUUCCUUGCCACUUUUUGUCUCCAUCCCUGGAAAAAUGUGGUUUGUAGAAGGGAGUGCCUGGAAUUCCAAGCACUUUCAAUCAAUGACCCUUGGAAAUGCAUUUUUUUCCGCAUGACUCCGGAAUUCCACUGUGAAUAAGUUGAUCUUCCCUGGAUUUCCUUGCCACUUUUUGUCUCCAUCCCUGGAAAAAUGUGGUUUGUAGAAGGGAGUGCCUGGAAUUCCAAGCACUUUCAAUCAAUGACCCUUGGAAAUGCAUUUUUUUCCGCAUGACUCCGGAAUUCCACUGUGAAUAAGUUGAUCUUCCCUGGAUUUCCUUGCCACUUUUUG